AAGUUCUCCUUCUUCUUUUCCCUUGACCAGAAACAACCAAUAUGGUCUAUUAUGCCCCAGAGAGCCUGGGCCAGUUUGGGUUGUUAGACUGCUAACGAAUGGUAUUUCCAUCCAUGAAACACCAUUUUCAAAGCACUUUCAGUACCUCCUUUCAUCUGACGUUUGAAAAAUGUGGCAAUUAUCCGUAUGUCCAUUUCCUCAAACAUGAAAUGUGUGUGGAGGAUGAGUUCUUCCAAAUAUUAGUCCUCCAGUGUCUGUUGAAUGUGACAUUGGAAAGACCACUGGGCAGGGACUGCUGAGAUUCUGACUCAGUUUUCACUGUUGGCCCAGCAACUCCAUCUCCAUGUCAUUUUCCAGUCCCAGUUUAUCUUGGGCCUCGACUUACGAACACAGAUUAAUUUACAUAGUCAUCAAUUUAUAGUUGUCUAGUUGGAAUAGCACAUGCCCUUGAGUUACAUUCUGAGGUCAAACAGAUAUAAGAAUGGACUUAUCGGCCCAUCUACCACAUACUCUCUGGCUGAGUCACUUUUUUUUUUUAGGCUGAGUCACUCUUCCUAGAAGAAUGCUGUUGCUCGCUUUUCGGCUAUCCUUCAAAUUCAGGUGUAUUUCAGCUUCAGUAUCUAUUUAGGGCUUUUCCUCUUGCUCAUGUCCACAAAAGAAGACAGCAUUUAGCUGAAUCCUGUAAUUCCUUAUUCUAACAAUUUGGAAGUUACCUUUGAAGGAGUUGGAAUGUUGCUACUCAAAGGGGGGUCUGUGGGCAGCAACAUGGAAUGACCUGGGACCUAAUUAGAAAUGCAGGCUCGCAGGCUCCACUUCAUACUUAGGGUAUCAAAAUUGAUGUACCCAAGGUUCCUCAGGUAAGUGGUAAGAAAGGACAUUCAGGUUUAAGAAGCACUGGCCUAAAAGACAGGGUACUACUUAAUAGGGCUGAAAGUUGGCAAUCUGGGUCAGGCACAGGAUCUGAAGUUGAAGAAAUGAACAGCCUUUUAGAGGUUUGGUGAUGCCCGCUGUUCAAGGUUUUGGGCACUAGGGGGUGACCUUGGGUUGCACAGCUAAGUGAGCAUAGAUGGCCCCCACCCACUCUCCAGGAACCAAAUGGGCAUCUUGAAAUGGUGUAGAAUUAAACUUUUUUGGGGGGUGGGACUCUUGUAUUAAGUUUAGUCCAGUUAUCACAUAAUGACUGACAUUUAUUUAGCAUGAACUAUGUGCCAAGCAUUGUGCUAAGCCUUUUACAUGAAUGGCUUCAUUUAAUCCUCAGAGGUACAAUUAUUGCCCUACUUUAAAGAUGAAGAAAUUGGGGUCUGGGGAGGUUGGGAAAUACAUUUACGGUCACACAGCUUCUCCUUCCCUCUAUCAACAACCCUCCAGGGCAGGCCUAAUAGAGCAACCAACUGUAGUCCCUUUAAACAAUUAGAAUAGAAGAACAGAGAAUUACAUUAAAAUUUGGUGCAUUUUUGAUGUGCUUUCUUUGUGAGGCAGGAAAGCAGAGAGGUCAUUGCACGGGCUCUAAAAUUAUUCUGUCCAGCACAGGAGCCAUUGCUAAGGAUGAUUAUUGAGCAUUUGAAAUGUGGCUGCUGUGACUGAAGACACAAGUGUUUAAUUUGCUUAAUUCUAAUUAGUUUACCUUUAAAAUCUGCCACUUGGUUGUGUUACUGAAAAGCUUUUAAAUAAAUGAGGAGUUUGGGAUUAACAGAUACACACUACUCAUACACACUGGUGUUCAAAGAUUCAGUAUAAAAAAGAAUGUAUGAUAUUUCCUGAAUAAUUUAUAUAUUGAUUACACAUUGAAAUGAUCAUAUUCUGGGUACCUGGAGUUAUUGAAAAUGUACUAUGAAAAUUAGUUUCACCUGUUUCUUUUUACUUUUCAAAUGUGGGCUGCUAGAAAACUUUGAGCGAUGCAUGUGGUUCACCUAAUGUUUGUGUUGGACACUGCUGCUCCAGAGCCAGAUGGUUGGGUUCAAAUCCUCACUGUACCGCUUAAUAGUUGUGGGAACUCUGUGGGCUUCCAUUUCAUUUGCAAAAUGGCAUAAAAGUACCUCCCUCACACAGUUGUUGAGAAGGUUAAUGAGUUAACAUACAUAAAGUACUCAUUGGGUGACAGUUGCCUGUAGGCCUUUUGUGUCUCUGCAAGACUGGCAAGCAGAAGCACCGAAUCCCUUUGUUCUAAACUGUCUUAUCAGGGGUGCUUGCAUAGCAGACAGCCUUGGAAAAAUAGUUGUAGCUUGUGUCUCUAAUGCAAAGAUCAGGUGGGUUUGUCUACUGUCUAUUAUAAAAUAUAUGGUCACCCUAAGCUCAAACUUCCUCUUCUGAAACUCAACCCACUACAUGUGCGAGUAUGAUUUGGCCUUUUUUGCAUCACCCUAUGGGAUCUGGGGCUCAGAGAACCAGCUACUGAUCAUGGCAUUGCUGUGAGUAGUAAGCAGUCCUUUGUCUCUGACCCAGGCAUCUGGUGUCUUCUGCCAGCAUCCAUGAAAUUGUGGCCGGCUAACCUGUCUGCUUCACUAAGUAGUGUGGAAUCUCAGCCUCUUCACAGUUUUUGAUGGUUCUUAGAAUAGGUGCCUGGCACAUAGCACUGUGUGUUAGCUAUUAUUACUACUGCCUCCUGACUUCCAUUUAAUUUAGCUGAAUCACUACUGUCUUGUGCCUUUUAUGUCCACUUCCACUUAGAGCGAGAGCUUUUUCUUAUUGUCUCUUGGGUUUUUUUUUUUUAUUAUUAAUUUUUUUAAAAAAAUUGAAUUGUAGUUGAUUUACAUUGUGCUAGUUUCAGAAGUACAGCAAGUUGAUUCAGUUAUAUGUAUUACAUAUAUAUCUUUUCUUUGUCAGAUUCUUUUCCCUUAUAGGUUUUACAAGAUAUUGAGUAUAGUUCCCUGUGCUACACAGCAGGGCCUUGUUGUUUAUGUAUUUUAUAUGUAAUGGUGUGUGUAUGUUAGUCCCAGUCUCCUAAUUUCCCCCUCCUCCCUUUCUCCAUUAGCAACCAUGUUUGUUCUCUGUCUUCAGUAUGCUCUCUUUGGACCUCUGGCAUUCCCACUGGCUGUGCCUUAUUGCUUACCUAUCAUGGUGGCUUCAGGUUGCAUGAAGUGAAAUUGUUAGAGCUGAAUCUUAUGGCUCAGGCUAAUGGAUUUUGUUUUCUCUCUCUAAAUAUUGUUUCGUACUGCACCGAAAUUCUUCACCUCCAGGAGAAUUUUCUGGAACUAAAUACUGAGUCACAUCAUGCACUUUACGCCCCUAGUUCCUCUGACUAUACUUUCUCUAAUACAGAUGACAGUUUGACACAAGACAAGUGUCAGCCAUCCACCUUCUCUCCACCAACAAUUCUGUGCAUCUAAUGCUACUUCUUCACCUGUGUACACUCAGAGAUGAGCUUACACAUGAUCACUGUACAUAUGCAUAAUAGAUUGUGACUUUACUAUAAAACGAUACCCAGAGUUAAGCAUUUUAUUGGUUUUGGUCAAAGGCCAAUGUAAAAUAUUUUAGAGCAAAGAGUAUGUACAAUUACUACGUGGAAUAAGCUACAGGAUCAAAACAGAACAAAGUUGAAGGGAAUGUGAAACAUUUCAUUGUGAAUGAAAGGGAUAAUCACACAAACACAUCAUCAGAAUGUUUUAACUGAAUUCUCUGAGUUGCCUUUAGCUCUGGUUUUAAAAGUAGCCAAUAUAAAAAGAUAUCUUAUUUUUAUUUAUUUAUUUUAUUUUUUGUCUUUUCAGGGCCAUACCUAUGGCAUAUGAAGGUUCCCAGGCUAGGGUUGAAUCGGAGCUGUAGCUGUUAGCUUGCACCAGAGCCACAGCAACACAGGAUCCAAGCUGCAUCCGUGACCUACACCACAGCUCACUGCAACGCCAGAUUCUUAACCUACUGAGUGAGGCCAGGGAUCAAACCCUCAUCCUCAUGGAAACUAGUUGAGUUCAUUACUGCUGAGCCACAAUGGGAACUCCAGACACCUUAUUUUUAUAUUGGCAACUUAAACUUAAUUAAAAUUAAGUAAAAUUAAACAUUCGGUUCCUCCAGCUGCUCCAGCCACAGUUCAAGUGCUUGAUGGCCUAUGGGACUCAUGGCUACCAUAUUGGACUGUGCAUAUAUAGUACAUUUCCAUCAUCACAGAAAAUUCCAUUGAAGAGCCCUGUUCUCACAUUGCAUAGAUGUUUGAAUCAGAGAGUAAGUAUUGUUCUCUAGCAAACAGCACUGAAAUUUGCUUCCAAGGUAUUUUGGACAUAAUUCUAAAUAUGUUUACAAUUCUGAGGAAUCUGAUUAUACCUUGGUUUUAAGAUAAAGAUAUAAAACUUUAUCUCUAAAAGUUCAUUCAGUGGUUAACAAAUCUGCCUAGCAUCCACUAGAAGACAGGUUCUAUCCCUGACAUUGCUCAGUGGGUUAAAGAUCUGGCGUUGCCAUGAGGUGUGGUGUAGGUUGUAGACACGGCUUGGAUCUUGCAUUGCUGUGACUAUGGUGCCAGCCAACAGCUACAACUCCGAGUCAACCCCUAGCCUGGGAACCAACAUAUGCCAUGGGUGCAGCCC
This 4511-nucleotide long non-coding RNA is filed under the name Sus scrofa (pig). RNAcentral's name for it is "lncRNA (ENSSSCG00065065670.1)". Lineage: Eukaryota; Metazoa; Chordata; Mammalia; Artiodactyla; Suidae. The record is from RNAcentral.